Molecule: ribosomal RNA, 253 nt
Filed under: uncultured bacterium
Lineage: Bacteria
Description: partial 16S ribosomal RNA
Rfam family: Bacterial small subunit ribosomal RNA
Source: RNAcentral
UACGAAGGGGGCUAGCGUUGCUCGGAAUCACUGGGCGUAAAGCGCACGUAGGCGGCUUUCUAAGUCAGGGGUGAAAUCCUGGAGCUCAACUCCAGAACUGCCUUCGAUACUGGGAGUCUCGAGUCCGAGAGAGGUGAGUGGAACUGCGAGUGUAGAGGUGAAAUUCGUAGAUAUUCGCAAGAACACCAGUGGCGAAGGCGGCUCACUGGCUCGGUACUGACGCUGAGGUGCGAAAGCGUGGGGAGCAAACAGG